CAGAUAUCCUCAUAAUUUCAAGUCCUGCUACAAGAUGCGUGUCGCUUUCUUUCUUCUGGUGCUUUUACUUAUCGGGCUGGCAGAUAUCUCAAAUUCCAAUAUUGCGAAAGAAAACGAAAAACACAUAGCGCGGUCACUUCAAUCUAAGGGGACCGAAGAUGUAAUAUACAAAAUACAGUCGCUCACGCGGCUCACCAUUGAGAGCAGGAACGAAAAAUAUAGCAAAGAAGAGGGAACGAAACAUAAAAAAGGGGGAAAAAAGAAGGGAAAAAAGCGAAAGGAUAAGGGCAAGAUGACACCCCUUGGCAUUCAAGUCACUUCUACUAGGAAUUGUACCGUCACAUAUGCUACCUACGGGACAAACACAUCCACAUACCAAUCGCAGUACGACGGGAACUGGACCGAACAUGCUCAAUGUCUUAUGCCGUGCAACCCUGAAUAUACGGAUCCAUGCAAAAGCCUGCCGGGAAACCAAUGCAUCUGUCUGAGUCGAAGAGAUUACCCGAAGGUUGGCGUGUGUGCCAUGAAAGAUGUUGCUCCAGGUAAUGACGCCUACAACACUACGCAGAAAUAAAAACAUGAGAGUGACAGUAAA
Long non-coding RNA from Dermacentor silvarum, 595 nucleotides. RefSeq lists it as uncharacterized. The transcript is spliced from 3 exons. Lineage: Eukaryota; Metazoa; Arthropoda; Arachnida; Ixodida; Ixodidae. The record is from RefSeq and is a predicted model, not a curated record.